This is a non-coding RNA of Ictidomys tridecemlineatus (thirteen-lined ground squirrel), 72 nucleotides long. The record is from Rfam. Lineage: Eukaryota; Metazoa; Chordata; Mammalia; Rodentia; Sciuridae.
GGGGAUGUAGCUUGGUGAUAGAGGGUUUGUCUAGCACACACAAAGCACUGGGUUCAAUUCCCAGUACCCCCC